GUGGAUUUGCAGCAGAAACACCCUGCUAAAGAACAAGUAUCUUGAUUCACAGCAAAGAAGACAAAGAAAAACAGCAAGUUCUAGGGGGUUGAAUCCUGGAUUGACAGACCAUAUACUAUGAACUUGGUGAACUAGGAAAUUUCACACAAUAUGUGAGUAUGUCAGCUGGUAUUAUACUGAUUUCGUAGUUCCAAGGUGCUGAGUUUGCUCUCUCCAAGGCCAGCUGACCAGCUAGGUGGCAGAAGAAAGAUGAUAUUUUCUUUCUGCCUCUCUUCAAUCAGUGGUUUGCUGGUUUGUUAACAUUGUCUUCUCGUGGGAUAAAAGUGAAUGUGGGUCUCAGGCAAUCACUUGAAGGCCUUGAUUAAAACUGACUGACCUCCUGGAAGAAGAGGGAAUUCUGGCAGCAAACUGCCUUUGGACUUGAAUCGUGGCUCUGGCCUGAGUCUCCAGCCUAUUGUCCCACCCUGCAAGUUUUGAACUGGCCAACGCUCCACAAUUUAAGCAGUUAAUCAGCCCACUCUCUUUCUUCACAUCCUGUUAUCUUGGUUUCUCUGGAGAACCAUUACAAACACACAUAUAAACAGAAAAUCAUUUGGUUAAG
Molecule: long non-coding RNA, 601 nt
Filed under: Heterocephalus glaber (naked mole-rat)
Lineage: Eukaryota; Metazoa; Chordata; Mammalia; Rodentia; Bathyergidae
Description: lncRNA (ENSHGLG00000047227.1)
Source: RNAcentral